GCUUAAAAGUGAAGGCAGCAAGCAGAGUUAUGUGAAGGAAAAGCAGAAAACAGUAUCAUCAAUAUAAUGUAGAUGUUCAGUUCAUCUUCCAGUGACUACUGGUAGAGAAAAUACAUUAAUUCUUCAAAAACCAAGCGUAGCUUCCUCGGUGCCCGGAUUUUACAACUUGUGUAAUAUACAAAGUUCCUGGAAGCCCAGAGCAGAACUGAACUACCAACUCAGCAAUAGUGGUGGGUGUGCUUAAUCCACGAGCUAUCACUGAGAGCCACACCAUGCUUUCGUCACUCUUAUCUCAACUUGCUGUGAAAUUCCUGUGUAAUUGUUGUCAAAUCUGAUGGCUAAACUACGAAGUUGGCAGGAGGUGGUUUCUUAUCCUUUCAGUUCAUGUUAUGCAAGAAUCUGAAGACAGAACCUCUCCUUCCCUCACUUACUCCACUUGCCAUCCCACUGCUGGAUUGAACUCUUGGCUAAUUUUAGUCAUCCAUUUUUUGGGUGGUCACAACAGCUGCUCUUGUCUUAUCUACUCACUCCCCGGUGCUGGGAGAUGGCAACUUGCGAGGAGUCACGCUGCUGAGAUAAGCCUGAGACAGAAAAUUAUUUAAAUUGACAGUAAUCCUUCCUUGUGUGCAAACCAAGACUUGCUACUGCUGCUGAGGAUGUGCUGGAUUAAUUUCCUCUCUCUGCAUGAGCAGAGGCAGCGCCCUGCACACAGCAAAGCCAGGAAAACACCUCUGGCUGCAGUGCCUCAAAGCAGAGCUCUGUGCCGUGCCACUACUGCUGGGGCUCUUGCCAUGUAAACGGUGACAUCCUGAGCUAAGAGAUAAUGGAUACAGGGACAGGAUAUCUCUUGAAAUCCCAGGAAUGCUAUGAUAAAUACAGCAGCACCUGAAUAUCUUCCUGAAGCAUCCAGGCCUCCUUUCUUUCUUAACUUUAUUUUGAAAGUUUCUUGGAGUAGAACUGAACUUACUUUAAACAAUAAGCAAAUUUUGCACUCAAGAGGAGCCCUGGGCUGGUGGAUUGGGUGGUUCAAGGGGCCAAGCAGAGCUUUCCACUUGUUCCCAGCUCUGCUGGAAGCCAUCGCUGCCUCAGCUUGGUAGAGGCGUAACUCCAGGUCAGCGUAAGCAAACAUUCUAUUUGCAGGUCUCUCCCCUCACACACCAUUGUGUCACAUCCACGCUAAGAUGGGUGUAAAGUGACUUACAGUGGCACCAUAGCAUUUUGUAGCUGCUGUUGUUCUAAAACAUGAACCAUCUUCAGUCAGAACAAUGCAUUCCCUUAAAAAUGCAGCCGUGGGCCCUUGAGAUUUCUUAGAGUGGCUCACCACUGUAUGGAAUAAACACGUCAGCAGAAUUGUCAGACUCCUACUGCAUUGUAUAAGAGCCUUUGAAUACUUUAAGUGUAUACAGGGACCUCUGUAUGAUUGUGAAAGCAUUAAAAGAAAAGUCAGGCUGAAAUGUCUGUGGCUCACCUCGAACUGGAUGACAGAAAGUGCUCUAAGUUUUCAGCUUUAAUCACAGUGUGUCCUUUUUACCCUCUCUCUCAAAACACAAGUCACAUGGUAAGAUGUCAAAAUAUAUAUGUAAUGAAAUGAAAUAUAAAAUAGGGCUGAGUCAAGUUACAUUUUAAAUCCAAGGAGCUCUAGUUCAAGGUCACAUAAUUUACUCAGUUUUAGCCAUAAAUCUCCAGAUCAAUAACAGAGGUUGAAGCCGAUAAAAAAUAUUUAACCUUUGGCAAACACCUCUAUCUGUUUUGUGUAGACCUUGAAAGCACAAAAUCCCAGCUCUGUGUGUUUGCAGUUACACAUGCCUACAGUUUUUACCCAUGGAAGAAACAGAAAGGAUGAUGUUUAUGUUAUGCAAAAUGUAAAAGAUGGAAUGAACAUUUAUGCCAAAAUAUUCUGCUACUCAAAAUUCUUUGUUUGUGUGUAUUUGCAACUCACAGCUGUAAUUUAAAUAUAUAUAUAUGUGUA
Hirundo rustica (Barn swallow) is the source of this 1969-nucleotide long non-coding RNA. RefSeq lists it as uncharacterized. Lineage: Eukaryota; Metazoa; Chordata; Aves; Passeriformes; Hirundinidae. The record is from RefSeq and is a predicted model, not a curated record. The transcript has 3 exons.